GGGAGCUUCAAAGUUCCAUACAAAAGAGAAGUCAAAAUACAUUUUAAGUGAAGAGAAACAGCUGCUAAAAGCAUUCUAAUGGACCUAAGUGGCAUUUCAUACUCGACACGCUUAGGAAUCUGGGCAGACUACCAAGUACAUAUGGAAACCUCUGAAAACAAAACAACAUUGGUAAAGUCGUCACCUCCAAUGAAUGCACAUCAAACAAAUGUGUGACACGUGGCUGACGAUCCCGUUCAUCUUCCAAUGAAGAGGUAAGGACAUGAAAUAGUUCAUGAGCAUCCUAUUAAAUAGAGGCAUAAGGGUUACAGGAAGCAAAACAAAAAAGAAACCCAUCCAAACAUACACCAGGAGUGCUGAGAGUCCACUGCACUAUGAAAUUAAAGGGGAAAAUCACUGCUUAGAGCUUAUCUUACGUAUUAAUAGUCAUCAAUUGUGCAUCCAAUUCAAGUUUAGUAACAAGUGUUCUCUAUAAAACUGAAUUUCAUAUAUUUCAUUAUUAAAAACAUUCUGGGCGGGAUAAAUUUAAGAGGCACCAAAAUCAUUGAAGAAAAAAAAUAAAUGCACAAAUGCCUGCUUUCCUGAGUUUCAAUAAAACCCAUCACUGAAA
Long non-coding RNA from Tympanuchus pallidicinctus (lesser prairie-chicken), 610 nucleotides. RefSeq lists it as uncharacterized. The record is from RefSeq and is a predicted model, not a curated record. NCBI's taxonomy places the organism in Eukaryota, Metazoa, Chordata, Aves, Galliformes, Phasianidae. The transcript has 2 exons.